GGGCCCGCACAAGCGGUGGAGUAUGUGGUUUAAUUCGAUGCAACGCGAAGAACCUUACCUGGGCUCGAAUGGAUUUGGACCGUUCCUGAAAGGGAACUUCUCUUCGGAGCUGAAUUCAAGGUGCUGCAUGGUUGUCGUCAGCUCGUGCCGUGAGGUGUUGGGUUAAGUCCCGCAACGAGCGCAACCCCUAUUCUUAGUUACCAGCACGUAAUGGUGGGACUCUAGGAAGACUGCCGGCGUAAAGCCGCGAGGAAGGUGGGGAUGACGUCAAAUCAUCAUGGCCUUAUGCCCAGGGGCUACACACGUGCUACAAUGGAGGGUACAGAGGUAGCGAAGCGCGAGGUGGAGC
RNAcentral lists this ribosomal RNA (349 nucleotides) under uncultured bacterium. RNAcentral describes it as "bacterial SSU rRNA". It matches the Rfam family "Bacterial small subunit ribosomal RNA", at positions 917 to 1268 of the family's 1533-position model. The record is from RNAcentral.